This is a long non-coding RNA of Lathyrus oleraceus (garden pea), 808 nucleotides long. RefSeq lists it as uncharacterized. The transcript has 2 exons. The record is from RefSeq and is a predicted model, not a curated record. Lineage: Eukaryota; Viridiplantae; Streptophyta; Magnoliopsida; Fabales; Fabaceae.
UGCAAAACGCGUUCAAUCACUAAGUUCAGAUUAAACAUUCAAAGACUUCCCUCCAAGCUCUUGACCUCUGAACCACCCUCCUCCGUCGCGCCGGAGGUCGCCCUGGAGGCGGUGGAAGUCCAACCACCAAAAUACCAUCAUACUUGUUUCAAAAUGCUCUAUUCGAAUCCAGAAUUGAUUUCACCAAAUUUCUAUCCUAAAGCCCUAACCGAAGUGAAUAAGAACCCUAUAUAUAACAACCUUAAAUUAAAUCAUAAUCACGGGAAUCAAAGCCCAAAAGGUUGGGGAUUUGAUUCCCCAUACCUAAAUUCACAUUACAGUAACGAGUUCAAAGUGAAAUGAGGAAAAAGAUCAACCUAGUUGUCGGAGAAGAUGAAGAUGCCGACGAAAUUUCCAGGAAAUUCAUGCACUCUUGCUCUUAAAUGGUGUGUAUGGGCUAACGCAUUGCCGGGAUGAAUUGGUGAUGGCUAUGACUUCAAGAAUGAUUGGCAUGACACUACAUGAAAGUCCAUGGUGAUGGCUUGAAGAAAAGAAAGCUUGCUUGCUCAUGAAGAAAGGUUUGGUCAUGCAAUCAAGUGAAAGGAUGCAAGAUAAUGAAGAAACAAAGGGAAUUAGAGUUUGGAAUAUGGAAAUUGGGUCAUUUGAUUUUGGUCAUCUAGUUGACCAAAAAGUCAACAGUUGACCAAAAGUCAACUGUAGGUCAAAACUUAUAUUUUUUUGUAAUUUUUUUUGUAUGAUUUCUUGUAAAUGAUAUUGUAUGAAUGAAAUGAACAAAUGAAUGGAAAUGAAUCCUUUUGAUUUGAUGAGA